GGGUUGUGAGGUUAAGCGACUAAGCGUACACGGUGGAUGCCCUGGCAGUCAGAGGCGAUGAAGGACGUGCUAAUCUGCGAUAAGCGUCGGUAAGGUGAUAUGAACCGUUAUAACCGGCGAUUUCCGAAUGGGGAAACCCAGUGUGUUUCGACACACUAUCAUUAACUGAAUCCAUAGGUUAAUGAGGCGAACCGGGGGAACUGAAACAUCUAAGUACCCCGAGGAAAAGAAAUCAACCGAGAUUCCCCCAGUAGCGGCGAGCGAACGGGGAGGAGCCCAGAGCCUGAAUCAGUGUGUGUGUUAGUGGAAGCGUCUGGAAAGGCGCGCGAUACAGGGUGACAGCCCCGUACACAAAAAUGCACAUGCUGUGAGCUCGAUGAGUAGGGCGGGACACGUGGUAUCCUGUCUGAAUAUGGGGGGACCAUCCUCCAAGGCUAAAUACUCCUGACUGACCGAUAGUGAACCAGUACCGUGAGGGAAAGGCGAAAAGAACCCCGGCGAGGGGAGUGAAAAAGAACCUGAAACCGUGUACGUACAAGCAGUGGGAGCCUCUUUUAUGGGGUGACUGCGUACCUUUUGUAUAAUGGGUCAGCGACUUAUAUUCUGUAGCAAGGUUAACCGAAUAGGGGAGCCGAAGGGAAACCGAGUCUUAACUGGGCGUUAAGUUGCAGGGUAUAGACCCGAAACCCGGUGAUCUAGCCAUGGGCAGGUUGAAGGUUGGGUAACACUAACUGGAGGACCGAACCGACUAAUGUUGAAAAAUUAGCGGAUGACUUGUGGCUGGGGGUGAAAGGCCAAUCAAACCGGGAGAUAGCUGGUUCUCCCCGAAAGCUAUUUAGGUAGCGCCUCGUGAAUUCAUCUCCGGGGGUAGAGCACUGUUUCGGCAAGGGGGUCAUCCCGACUUACCAACCCGAUGCAAACUGCGAAUACCGGAGAAUGUUAUCACGGGAGACACACGGCGGGUGCUAACGUCCGUCGUGAAGAGGGAAACAACCCAGACCGCCAGCUAAGGUCCCAAAGUCAUGGUUAAGUGGGAAACGAUGUGGGAAGGCCCAGACAGCCAGGAUGUUGGCUUAGAAGCAGCCAUCAUUUAAAGAAAGCGUAAUAGCUCACUGGUCGAGUCGGCCUGCGCGGAAGAUGUAACGGGGCUAAACCAUGCACCGAAGCUGCGGCAGCGACACUGUGUGUUGUUGGGUAGGGGAGCGUUCUGUAAGCCUGUGAAGGUGUACUGUGAGGUAUGCUGGAGGUAUCAGAAGUGCGAAUGCUGACAUAAGUAACGAUAAAGCGGGUGAAAAGCCCGCUCGCCGGAAGACCAAGGGUUCCUGUCCAACGUUAAUCGGGGCAGGGUGAGUCGACCCCUAAGGCGAGGCCGAAAGGCGUAGUCGAUGGGAAACAGGUUAAUAUUCCUGUACUUGGUGUUACUGCGAAGGGGGGACGGAGAAGGCUAUGUUGGCCGGGCGACGGUUGUCCCGGUUUAAGCGUGUAGGCUGGUUUUCCAGGCAAAUCCGGAAAAUCAAGGCUGAGGCGUGAUGACGAGGCACUACGGUGCUGAAGCAACAAAUGCCCUGCUUCCAGGAAAAGCCUCUAAGCAUCAGGUAACAUCAAAUCGUACCCCAAACCGACACAGGUGGUCAGGUAGAGAAUACCAAGGCGCUUGAGAGAACUCGGGUGAAGGAACUAGGCAAAAUGGUGCCGUAACUUCGGGAGAAGGCACGCUGAUAUGUAGGUGAAGUCCCUCGCGGAUGGAGCUGAAAUCAGUCGAAGAUACCAGCUGGCUGCAACUGUUUAUUAAAAACACAGCACUGUGCAAACACGAAAGUGGACGUAUACGGUGUGACGCCUGCCCGGUGCCGGAAGGUUAAUUGAUGGGGUCAGCGCAAGCGAAGCUCUUGAUCGAAGCCCCGGUAAACGGCGGCCGUAACUAUAACGGUCCUAAGGUAGCGAAAUUCCUUGUCGGGUAAGUUCCGACCUGCACGAAUGGCGUAAUGAUGGCCAGGCUGUCUCCACCCGAGACUCAGUGAAAUUGAACUCGCUGUGAAGAUGCAGUGUACCCGCGGCAAGACGGAAAGACCCCGUGAACCUUUACUAUAGCUUGACACUGAACAUUGAGCCUUGAUGUGUAGGAUAGGUGGGAGGCUUUGAAGUGUGGACGCCAGUCUGCAUGGAGCCGACCUUGAAAUACCACCCUUUAAUGUUUGAUGUUCUAACGUGGACCCGUGAUCCGGGUUGCGGACAGUGUCUGGUGGGUAGUUUGACUGGGGCGGUCUCCUCCUAAAGAGUAACGGAGGAGCACGAAGGUUGGCUAAUCCUGGUCGGACAUCAGGAGGUUAGUGCAAUGGCAUAAGCCAGCUUGACUGCGAGCGUGACGGCGCGAGCAGGUGCGAAAGCAGGUCAUAGUGAUCCGGUGGUUCUGAAUGGAAGGGCCAUCGCUCAACGGAUAAAAGGUACUCCGGGGAUAACAGGCUGAUACCGCCCAAGAGUUCAUAUCGACGGCGGUGUUUGGCACCUCGAUGUCGGCUCAUCACAUCCUGGGGCUGAAGUAGGUCCCAAGGGUAUGGCUGUUCGCCAUUUAAAGUGGUACGCGAGCUGGGUUUAGAACGUCGUGAGACAGUUCGGUCCCUAUCUGCCGUGGGCGCUGGAGAACUGAGGGGGGCUGCUCCUAGUACGAGAGGACCGGAGUGGACGCAUCACUGGUGUUCGGGUUGUCAUGCCAAUGGCACUGCCCGGUAGCUAAAUGCGGAAGAGAUAAGUGCUGAAAGCAUCUAAGCACGAAACUUGCCCCGAGAUGAGUUCUCCCUGACCCUUUAAGGGUCCUGAAGGAACGUUGAAGACGACGACGUUGAUAGGCCGGGUGUGUAAGCGCAGCGAUGCGUUGAGCUAACCGGUACUAAUGAACCGUGAGGCUUAACCUUACAACGCCGAAGGUGUUU
This 2930-nucleotide ribosomal RNA is filed under the name Escherichia coli O157:H7. RNAcentral describes it as "23S ribosomal RNA". It matches the Rfam family "Bacterial large subunit ribosomal RNA". RNAcentral also lists the same sequence under 1 other name. Lineage: Bacteria; Pseudomonadati; Pseudomonadota; Gammaproteobacteria; Enterobacterales; Enterobacteriaceae. The record is from RNAcentral.